AGAGCCAGGCCCCAGCCGGUGCCGCUCAGACUCCCCCGCUGUCGCCGCCGUGGUCCCAGCCAUGGCAUCCUAUCCAUCUGGCUCUGGCAAGCCCAAGGCCAAAUAUACCUUUAAGAAGCGGGCCAGCCUGCAGGCCUCCACUGCAGCUCCAGGAGCUGUUCACCCGCUCACUGGCUGAGAGCGAGCUCCGUAGUGCCCCGUAUGAGUUCCCCGAGGAGAGCCCCAUUGAACAGCUGGAGGAGCGGCGGCAGCGGCUGGAGCGGCAGAUCAGCCAGGAUGUCAAGCUGGAGCCAGACAUCCUGCUUCGGGCCAAGCAAGAUUUCCUGAAGACGGACAGUGACUCGGACCUACAGUGAGGAGGGCAGAGGGGCACAGGGGAUGCGGAGCUGGAGCCUGCCCUUCUGCCGGCUCUAAACCCCUCCCUUGAAUGCACCCCCUGCAGGCUCUACAAGGAACAGGGUGAGGGGCAGGGUGACCGGAGCCUGCGGGAGCGUGAUGUGCUGGAACGGGAGUUUCAGCGGGUCACCAUCUCUGGGGAGGAGAAGUGUGGGGUAAGUAUGGGGUGUAUGUUGGGUGAGUCGC
Molecule: small RNA, 582 nt
Filed under: Pan troglodytes (chimpanzee)
Lineage: Eukaryota; Metazoa; Chordata; Mammalia; Primates; Hominidae
Description: retained intron
Source: RNAcentral